This 253-nucleotide ribosomal RNA is filed under the name uncultured bacterium. RNAcentral describes it as "partial 16S ribosomal RNA". It matches the Rfam family "Bacterial small subunit ribosomal RNA", at positions 524 to 776 of the family's 1533-position model. The record is from RNAcentral.
UACGUAGGGACCGAGCGUUGUCCGGAUUCAUUGGGCGUAAAGAGCUCGUAGGCGGCUGUUCAAGUCGAACGUGAAAACUCGGAGCUCAACUCCGAGCCUGCGUUCGAUACUGGACGGCUAGAGUCUGGUAGGGGGAUCUGGAAUUCCUGGUGUAGCGGUGGAAUGCGCAGAUAUCAGGAGGAACACCGAUGGCGAAGGCAGCCCCCUGGGAUGAGACUGACGCUCAUGUACGAAAGCGUGGGGAGCAAACAGG